Molecule: long non-coding RNA, 729 nt
Filed under: Fukomys damarensis (Damara mole-rat)
Lineage: Eukaryota; Metazoa; Chordata; Mammalia; Rodentia; Bathyergidae
Description: lncRNA (ENSFDAG00000029056.1)
Source: RNAcentral
GUCCCUCUCACUAAUGACCAUCUCUCCUGCAGCCACCCUAGCCACCCCUCACCCUCCACAGGCCAGGCUGACACCCUGGCCUCAGACAAAAAUCUCCUCAGGUCCCUGAGGUGGGAGAACUGGGGGGCGCAUCUCUGCCCCGGCCCCCUCCCUGGACAUCCUCUCCUGCGGAGCCCCCCGAGGGCCUUUCCGGUGCCGUGUGCCAGCCCGUCCCGCAUCCCACAGCCCCAGCUGUUGACAUUUCGUUGCCAUUACCCACGGGACAAAGAAAGGGGCCCCUGUUGUUCAACAAUAGGGAAAAAGACAGAGACAAAGGGAAAUUGUGCUUCUGAGCUUCCGACGGGGUGGGGACAGAGGAGGAAAGGACAGACAGACGGACAGACGGGGGCUGGACAGAGGGCACUAGGUUCCUUGAGGCGGCUGGAAGUCCUGGAAGUCACUUUCCACCUUGACAGCCUCUUCCCAAAGGCAAUGUGCAUCCAGGCCCCCAGGGGCAGAGGACCAAAGGCUGCUACCCAUCACUGCUUUUGCCUCCGGGCAGAGACCGGCUUCUAACAGACCACCAUGCCAAGCUGUCUCACGCUGCCCGAACUGUGCAACUUCCUUCUCCCCUGGCUGCUCACCGUCUCCCACAGAGCGCUGGGGGACCCAGGUAAGACCCAGGCCGGCCCGGACGCUGGGACCCGGGGCUGAGGCUCCAGCGGGCGGUGUGGAGAGCAGGCAGCCAAG